RNA transcript from Piliocolobus tephrosceles (Ugandan red Colobus), 1528 nucleotides. It is a transcript of the gene named ribonuclease H1 pseudogene, with no coding region annotated. The record is from RefSeq and is a predicted model, not a curated record. The transcript has a single exon. NCBI's taxonomy places the organism in Eukaryota, Metazoa, Chordata, Mammalia, Primates, Cercopithecidae.
AAUGCUUCCCCGUGCCAGGAGUGAGCGAUGAGUUGGCUUGUGUUCCUGCCCCACAGAGUCGCCUUGGCUGCCGUGUCCUGCCCUCGCAGCUCUUGCGGGUUCGGGAUGUUCUAUGCUGUGAGGAGGGGCCCUAAGACUAGGGUCUUUCUGACCUGGAAUGAGUGCAAAGCAAAGGUGGACCAGUUUCCUGCUGCCAGAUUUAAGAAGUUUGCCAUAGAGGAUGAGACCUGGACCUUUGUCAGGAAAUCUGCAAGCCCAGAAGUUUCAGAAGGGCAGGAAAAUCAACAUGGAAAAGAAUCGCAGACAAAAGCCAGCAAGCGACUCCGUGAGCCACUGGAUGGAGAUGGAGAUGAAAGCACAGAGCCAUAUGCAAAGUACAUGAAGCUGAGCAUGGAGCCAGGGCCUCCAGUUAGCAGAGACACGUUUUCCUACAUGGGAGACUUUGUUGUCGUCUACACUGAUGGCUGCUGCUCCAGUAAUGCGCGUAGAAGGCCACGAGCAGGAAUCUGCGUUUACUGGGGGCCGGGCCAUCCUUUAAAUGUAGGCAUUAGACUUCCUGGGCGACAGACAAACCAAAGAGCAGAAAUUCAUGCUGCCUGCAAAGCCAUUGAACAAGCAAAGGCUCAAAACAUCAGUAAACUGGUUCUGUAUACAGACAGUAUGUUUACUAUAAAUGGUAUAACUAACUGUGUUCAAAGUUGGAAGGAAAAUGGGUGGAAGACAAGUGCAGGGAAAGAGGUGAUCAACAAAGAGGACUUCGUGGCACUGGAGAGGCUCACCCAGGGGAUGGACAUUCAGUGGAUGCAUGUUCCUGGUCAUUUGGGAUUUAUAGGCAAUGAAGAAUUUGAUAGACUAGCCAGAGAAGGAGCUAAACAAUCCGAAGACUGAGCCAUGUGACUUUAGUCCUUGGGAGAACUUGAGCCAAUGACUGUCUUGCUACUUGUACUUACUGGUGUGGAAAACAGCCUGCAGAUGGGACCAUCGCGGUGAUGGGCAGAUGCGUCUUUCACACGGAAUCAGGCACAGUGGCCUUCUGUGACACGUUUUUAUAAAAAAUGGUUAAAUACAUAAUAAAUUGAAUUUUUGAGGUUGGAGAAUUAUGUGAGAUUUUCGCAUUAUGUUUACUGGGUUUGAUACUGUUCUUGCUUGUUUUAUUGCAGGCAAGCAAGGCAAAUGGCCUAAAAUGCUGUGGCUUAUAUUUUGAUAAGAAAUCAAAAAAGCAUUGGUUAAAAGAUGCAACUCAGAAGUCUGGAAGUGUUCUGGAAUCUUCCAUUUACCAUCCAGUCAACGGGACUGAGUCUCCUGCUUGUAUAGGUGACUUGUGCCUGUGGGUACGUUAGAGAAACAUGCUGCCCAGGGCCUGGGUGUGCAGCUCAGUGGGCAGGGUGUAGGCUAGGUCUCAGCCCCACGUGCCAGCUUGCUGGGCACUUAGUAUAGGGCAAAGCCUGCCUGCAGGCGACCCUGGCUGCUAGGCCAUUCUCUAGGAACAGCUAGGACUUUUCAAGACUAAAAUACAUAAAUAAAUCUU